RNAcentral lists this ribosomal RNA (578 nucleotides) under uncultured bacterium. RNAcentral describes it as "bacterial SSU rRNA". It matches the Rfam family "Bacterial small subunit ribosomal RNA", at positions 102 to 694 of the family's 1533-position model. The record is from RNAcentral.
ACGUGUGAGUAACACGUGAGCAACCUGCCCCUGACUCUGGGAUAAGCGCUGGAAACGGCGUCUAAUACUGGAUAUGUGACGUGACCGCAUGGUCUGCGUCUGGAAAGAAUUUCGGUUGGGGAUGGGCUCGCGGCCUAUCAGCUUGUUGGUGAGGUAAUGGCUCACCAAGGCGUCGACGGGUAGCCGGCCUGAGAGGGUGACCGGCCACACUGGGACUGAGACACGGCCCAGACUCCUACGGGAGGCAGCAGUGGGGAGUAUUGCACAAUGGGCGCAAGCCUGAUGCAGCAACGCCGCGUGAGGGAUGACGGCCUUCGGGUUGUAAACCUCUUUUAGCAGGGAAGAAGCGAAAGUGACGGUACCUGCAGAAAAAGCGCCGGCUAACUACGUGCCAGCAGCCGCGGUAAUACGUAGGGCGCAAGCGUUAUCCGGAAUUAUUGGGCGUAAAGAGCUCGUAGGCGGUUUGUCGCGUCUGCUGUGAAAUCCCGAGGCUCAACCUCGGGCCUGCAGUGGGUACGGGCAGACUAGAGUGCGGUAGGGGAGAUUGGAAUUCCUGGUGUAGCGGUGGAAUGCGCAGA